This 68-nucleotide transfer RNA is filed under the name Aplidium tabarquensis. RNAcentral describes it as "transfer RNA-Thr". Lineage: Eukaryota; Metazoa; Chordata; Ascidiacea; Aplousobranchia; Polyclinidae. The record is from RNAcentral.
UAGAAAGUAGUUUAUUUUAAAAUAUUUUUUUUGUAAAAAAAAGAUCUCAAGUAAGAGUUGCUUUUAGG